UACGAAGGGGGCUAGCGUUUCUCGGAAUCACUGGGAGUAAAGGGCGCGUAGGCGGCUUGGUCAGUCAGGCGUGAAAUUCCUGGGCUUAACCUGGGGACUGCGCUUGAUACGGCCAGGCUUGAGGCCGAGAGAGGGUGGUGGAAUUCCCAGUGUAGAGGUGAAAUUCGUAGAUAUUGGGAAGAACACCGGUGGCGAAGGCGACCGCCUGGCUCGGUACUGACGCUGAGGCGCGACAGCGUGGGGAGCAAACAGG
RNAcentral lists this ribosomal RNA (253 nucleotides) under uncultured bacterium. Its description in RNAcentral is "partial 16S ribosomal RNA". It matches the Rfam family "Bacterial small subunit ribosomal RNA", at positions 524 to 776 of the family's 1533-position model. The record is from RNAcentral.